RNAcentral lists this ribosomal RNA (342 nucleotides) under Boophis elenae. RNAcentral describes it as "partial 16S ribosomal RNA". It matches the Rfam family "Bacterial large subunit ribosomal RNA", at positions 2087 to 2597 of the family's 2925-position model. Lineage: Eukaryota; Metazoa; Chordata; Amphibia; Anura; Mantellidae. The record is from RNAcentral.
GACCCCAUGGAGCUUUAAACCCAACAGCACCCGUUUAUUUUCAUCCUCACAUAAGUUAGGUUAUGCCUGUUUGGUUUUAGGUUGGGGUGACCACGGAGUAUAAAACAACCUCCAUGAAAAAAGGACCAAAAAUCCUUAUUAGAGAAAGACAUUUCUAAAAUUAAUAAAUUAAUUUUUAAUGAUCCGAUAUUCGAUCAACGAACCAAGUUACCCUGGGGAUAACAGCGCAAUCCACUUCAAGAGCUCCUAUCGACAAGUGGGUUUACGACCUCGAUGUUGGAUCAGGGUAUCCUAGUGGUGCAGCAGCUACUAACGGUUCGUUUGUUCAACGAUUAAAACCCU